UACGUAGGGGGCAAGCGUUAUCCGGAUUUACUGGGUGUAAAGGGAGCGUAGACGGCAUUGCAAGUCUGAUGUGAAAGAUUGGGGCCCAACCCCAGGCCUGCAUUGGAAACUGUAAAGCUGGAGUACAGGAGAGGUAAGCGGAAUUCCUAGUGUAGCGGUGAAAUGCGUAGAUAUUAGGAGGAACACCAGUGGCGAAGGCGGCUUACUGGACUGUAACUGACGUUGAGGCUCGAAAGCGUGGGGAGCAAACAGG
This 253-nucleotide ribosomal RNA is filed under the name uncultured bacterium. Its description in RNAcentral is "partial 16S ribosomal RNA". It matches the Rfam family "Bacterial small subunit ribosomal RNA", at positions 524 to 776 of the family's 1533-position model. The record is from RNAcentral.